AUUGAACGCUGGCGGCAGGCCUAACACAUGCAAGUCGAGCGGUAGAGAGAAGCUUGCUUCUCUUGAGAGCGGCGGACGGGUGAGUAAUGCCUAGGAAUCUGCCUGGUAGUGGGGGAUAACGUUCGGAAACGGACGCUAAUACCGCAUACGUCCUACGGGAGAAAGCAGGGGACCUUCGGGCCUUGCGCUAUCAGAUGAGCCUAGGUCGGAUUAGCUAGUUGGUGGGGUAAUGGCUCACCAAGGCGACGAUCCGUAACCGGUCUGAGAGGAUGAUCAGUCACACUGGAACUGAGACACGGUCCAGACUCCUACGGGAGGCAGCAGUGGGGAAUAUUGGACAAUGGGCGAAAGCCUGAUCCAGCCAUGCCGCGUGUGUGAAGAAGGUCUUCGGAUUGUAAAGCACUUUAAGUUGGGAGGAAGGGCAGUAAAUUAAUACUUUGCUGUUUUGACGUUACCGACAGAAUAAGCACCGGCUAACUCUGUG
RNAcentral lists this ribosomal RNA (484 nucleotides) under uncultured bacterium. Its description in RNAcentral is "partial 16S ribosomal RNA". It matches the Rfam family "Bacterial small subunit ribosomal RNA", at positions 30 to 507 of the family's 1533-position model. The record is from RNAcentral.